UACGAAGGGGGCAAGCGUUGUUCGGAAUUACUGGGCGUAAAGGGCGCGUAGGCGGCUUACCAAGUCAGGCGUGAAAUUCCCGGGCUCAACCUGGGGGCUGCGCUUGAUACUGGUGAGCUUGAAUGCGGGAGAGGAUAGUGGAAUUCCCAGUGUAGAGGUGAAAUUCGUAGAUAUUGGGAAGAACACCGGUGGCGAAGGCGGCGACCUGGUCCGAUACUGACGCUGAGGCGCGAAAGCGUGGGGAGCAAACAGG
This 253-nucleotide ribosomal RNA is filed under the name uncultured bacterium. Its description in RNAcentral is "partial 16S ribosomal RNA". It matches the Rfam family "Bacterial small subunit ribosomal RNA", at positions 524 to 776 of the family's 1533-position model. The record is from RNAcentral.